UUACAUAACAUAUUCUUGUCCAAAAUUAAAAUAUACUAGUAUAGUAUUUGUAUAUGCAAGAACUAAGAAGAUAUACAUACAAGUAUGAAAAAUGUGAAAGAAUAUAUAAACACUCGUGAUUUAUCAUUAUUCCUCCACGAAUAGAUAAUUGUUACACUUAUAUUAUCGUUUAGAUUUUUAAAAUCCUUCAAACCCUCAUGAAUAAUGUUUUUUAUUUGAGGGCAAAAUUAAUAAUAAUUAUUGUAGAAGUGUAAAAAAUGUAAAAAUAUAUAUAUACAAUCACUCAUAUAUAAAAAAGGUAAAUACUUUAAAUUAAAGAUCAAAUUUAUUCAUUACAUUCUUAUAAGGUCGAUGAGUGUAUAUGUACAAAAUCAUCAAAAUCGGAGCUAAAAUAACCGUUAAAUUGUGAUUUUUCGUUUAUAACCGUCGAAAACUUUUGUUCCGUUACGUAAUCUCUGAAUGUUUGUUUUUUAUGAUUUUUUACGUUUGCAAUCUCGGAAUGUGUACGAAUAAGUUUGACGGUUGGAUCGUUGAAAAUUUUUUUGUAGAAUGCAUAUUGCAUCAAAACGGUAGAUUAAACAAACACUUAGAGUUAAUAUUAUACUUCUAUUAAGUAUAAAAUAAGUUUUUGUGGUAUCCACUAGUGUAAAUACUUUAAAUUAAAGAUCAAAUUUAUUUAUUACAUUCUUAUGGGAUCGAGGAGUGUAUAUGUAAAAAUCAUCAAAAUCGGUGCUAAAAUAACCGUUAAAUUGUGAUUUUUUGUUUAUAACCGUUGAUAACUUUUGUUCCGUUACGUAAUCUCUGAAUGUUUGUUUUUUACGAUUUUUUACGUAUGCAAUCUU
This 842-nucleotide long non-coding RNA is filed under the name Malus domestica (apple). RNAcentral's name for it is "long non-coding RNA (MDOM_LNC010382)". Lineage: Eukaryota; Viridiplantae; Streptophyta; Magnoliopsida; Rosales; Rosaceae. The record is from RNAcentral.